UUAAUUUAUUUAAUUUUAGUCAAUAGCAUUUUAAUUUUAAAAUUUGAAUAGGUCAUUUAUUCUUACAGAUUUAGUUAGUAUAAAUAUUUUAUGCAAUUCUCGCAAUUAUAAAUUUAUCAAAGUAAAAAUUAGUUUAAAAUUUAAAGUCAGAGUUUUAUAAACUGAUUCAAAUCAAAUAAACUGAAAAAUAUAUAGUAAAACUAAAUUUUUGAAGGGCCCGAUGGUAAAUUCAAAAUGAUUUAUAAUUUUUGAUAAUUUUGAUAUGUUUUUGUUUGAAG
Molecule: long non-coding RNA, 278 nt
Filed under: Ananas comosus (pineapple)
Lineage: Eukaryota; Viridiplantae; Streptophyta; Magnoliopsida; Poales; Bromeliaceae
Description: long non-coding RNA (ACOM_LNC032957)
Source: RNAcentral